Molecule: long non-coding RNA, 443 nt
Filed under: Gossypium raimondii (Peruvian cotton)
Lineage: Eukaryota; Viridiplantae; Streptophyta; Magnoliopsida; Malvales; Malvaceae
Description: long non-coding RNA (GRAI_LNC000728)
Source: RNAcentral
CCAAGUUGGGUCAGGUGAUACUUGAUUUCAAGUAUUCCGAUCUGCUUGGUUUGGAGGCUAUUCUUCUCAUUUUCCCUAAAUUCUUCAUUCUUAAUCCCUAAGGACUCUCCCCAUCUUUCUUUUCUCUCAAUCACCUUUCAAAUCUUUUUCAAUUUUCUUUGCAUCUUUCUUCUUUUUGUUUUAUUUUUUUCUUGUUAGUUUCUUAUUUUGUAGGUAUUACACUCUUUUUGCUUGGGGGACACAGGACUUCAUCUACUCCAUCAAUAAACCCAUACACAAUUUAAGUUUCCAUUUUCUCUUUUGUGUUGAAUGUGAUAUUGUGGCCUUUGUUAUUAUUUUUGGUAUAUUGUUCUAGCAUUAGUGUUGAUUGAUUAUGGGAUAUUUGGUUAGUACAUACAUUAUAGUUGGAUUUGUCUAAAAAUUGAUAAACAUGCCUUUUAAAU